RNAcentral lists this ribosomal RNA (256 nucleotides) under uncultured bacterium. RNAcentral's name for it is "partial 16S ribosomal RNA". It matches the Rfam family "Bacterial small subunit ribosomal RNA", at positions 333 to 606 of the family's 1533-position model. The record is from RNAcentral.
CGGUUCCUACGGGAGGCAGCAGUGGGGAAUAUUGCACAAUGGGGGAAACCCUGAUGCAGCGACGCCGCGUGAGUGAAGAAGUAUUUCGGUAUGUAAAGCUCUAUCAGCAGGGAAGAAAAUGAAGGUACCUGACUAAGAAGCCCCGGCUAACUACGUGCCAGCAGCCGCGGUAAUACGUAGGGGGCAAGCGUUAUCCGGAUUUACUGGGUGUAAAGGGAGCGUAGACGGCGGAACAAGUCAGAAGAGAAAACCCGGG